This 497-nucleotide ribosomal RNA is filed under the name uncultured bacterium. Its description in RNAcentral is "partial 16S ribosomal RNA". It matches the Rfam family "Bacterial small subunit ribosomal RNA", at positions 28 to 507 of the family's 1533-position model. The record is from RNAcentral.
GAUGAACGCUGGCGGCGUGCCUAAUACAUGCAAGUCGAGCGAACAGACGAGGAACUUGUCCCUCUGACGUUAGCGGCGGACGGGUGAGUAACACGUGGAUAACCUACCUAUAAGACUGGGAUAACUUCGGGAAACCGGAGCUAAUACCGGAUAAUAUAUUGAACCGCAGGGUUCAAUAGUGAAAGACGGUUUUGCUGCCACUUAUAGAUGGAUCCGCGCCGCAUUAGCUAGUUGGUAAGGUAACGGCUUACCAAGGCAACGAUGCGUAGCCGACCUGAGAGGGUGAUCGGCCACACUGGAACUGAGACACGGUCCAGACUCCUACGGGAGGCAGCAGUAGGGAAUCUUCCGCAAUGGGCGAAAGCUUGACGGAGCAACGCCGCGUGAGUGAUGAAGGUCUUCGGAUCGUAAAACUCUGUUAUUAGGGAAGAACAAAUGUGUAAGUAACUAUGCACGUCUUGACGGUACCUAAUCAGAAAGCCACGGCUAACUACGUG